RNAcentral lists this long non-coding RNA (269 nucleotides) under Physcomitrium patens. RNAcentral's name for it is "long non-coding RNA (PPAT_LNC013356)". Lineage: Eukaryota; Viridiplantae; Streptophyta; Bryopsida; Funariales; Funariaceae. The record is from RNAcentral.
GAUUCCAUUCGUUCUACCUAGAAUUUGUCUAUAAGUCAAUGAUUGAUGGAUUGAUAGAUUGCUCGAAGUAUUCUGCAAUUAGAGAGUGUCAGCGAACGAGAGAAAGAAUACAAGUGUGUAUUAAGCUCUGAUGUUGCUAUUGAACUGUUUACUGAUUAAUAAGUAGUAUUUACUGCUUUACUAUGUGUAUAGAAAGAGUAGAAAACCUUUCAGAUUAUGGACCUUUCCCCGCAAGUACGCUGUGAAAUUUAUUGAAACAAAAAUUGUUA